CUCCGUACGGGGAAGGAUGAGAAGCUUCGACUAAGGUUCGAUUCGAGCGCAGCGAGAAAACGUUGCCGCAGGCAACGACCCGAAGGGUGAGGAGCGGAGCGACGAAUAAUCCUUCCCCCACCACCA
Molecule: small RNA, 126 nt
Filed under: Salmonella enterica
Lineage: Bacteria; Pseudomonadati; Pseudomonadota; Gammaproteobacteria; Enterobacterales; Enterobacteriaceae
Description: partial RtT sRNA
Rfam family: RtT RNA
About the family: This family represents a bacterial cis-regulatory element known as RtT RNA. The exact function of RtT is unknown although it is thought that it may be involved in changing the cellular response in relation to amino acid starvation.
Source: RNAcentral